Molecule: long non-coding RNA, 2888 nt
Organism: Gallus gallus (chicken)
Lineage: Eukaryota; Metazoa; Chordata; Aves; Galliformes; Phasianidae
Exons: 4
Source: RefSeq, a predicted model, not a curated record
GGGUGCGGUUCUCGGCGGGAGCGUUCUGGGCAGUGGGCGGCCGGGAGGGGACUGCGGAGAGAGUAGCAAGCCGGCUCACCUGUAGCGGCGUUACGGUCUGCCAAGGGCAACGCUGUAGCGUGAGGGCGCAGAAUACAUCCACUGAGAAAUUUCUGGAGGAUUAUGAGUUCGGCUGGUCCAAGUAGUCUGAUAUCAAGUGCUGGAUGCUAUGCAUAGAUUUUAAGAAUAUUGCCAGGACAGUGGGUGAUCCAAUCCACCAUCAAAGCCUAAUAAAGUUAAGAAGGCCUUGAAGGAAAAAUUGACUCUGAAUAAAUCACCAUUACUAUGAAAUUGAUAGUUACUAUUUGAGAAGAAGGAUCCAACACCUGCUCUUCCAUCUUUGCUUUGAGAACUCCUGAACACUCUGGGAGAGAAACGAGUGACAGAGUAGCACCAAACAAGUGCUCAGGGCUUGCCCACCUUCAGGAACAAACCGUCAUAGCAGAAAAGCUCAAGUACAUCAAUGGGAAGAAGGGUGGUUGUGAGUAGCUGCACCAAGAGGUUCCAGUAGCCACUUCUCAACUGCUCUGCACUCUGUCUCUUGGCUCUGAAACCCCACAGAAGCCUUGUGGAUGGAAAAUACCAUAUUUACAAAGUUCCUGGAUACUUAAGAACUUCCCAGAUACUUCCCAGAUAUAAACAAAAUAUCCAAAAUAAAAGACUAUCUGAACAGGUUAAAAGCAAACUAAAGAAACUCGGCAGUCAAGAGGAGAAAAGAAAAGCAUUUAAUUUGGCUCUGAGUAGUAACGCCACUGACAUUUGCCACCUACAAGGCCAGGCAGUGAUUUCCCUGGGUACCUACACAGACAUGCACACAGAAGCACUCAGCUUGGACACCACAGUACUUGUGAGCCCUGGGCUUGGUGCUGAGUCCAGCCUUCCAGUGCAGCCGGCCUGCACUCAGAUAUCUUCAUUGUUCCCGCCCCUACUAAUGUACCACAAGAUUGCAUAAAGAAUGAGCAGGAUGGUGAAAAGGAAGAAUGCAAGGAAAACAGCUUUGACACCACAGGCUGUAUAUACCCCGGUGAGCAUGGGAGCUGGAGUGCAGCAGGGAGGCACUGAUGCAUGCGUAGAUUUGUCUAUGAUGUAUGCAUGCUUGCAUCCCAGGGAACACUCCAAUGGCACCACUGACACAGCCCUGCGUGCAUCAUCUUUUCUGUGCUCACCUCUUUACAGCCUAUCUUCAUCACUUGCAGGAAAAUCAGUUAUUUCACGGACAGAGAAACAACACACAGGAUGUUUGUCAGAUCUGACAGCAUCUGCUUAGCAGACAGGCCUUAACCACUCUUCUGGGGGAAAGUCCACUAUCCUACAGCGAUCUAUAUGUGUUAUGUAUUUAUUCAAGAAAAAAAAAAAAAAAAAACAAAUAAAGCGGACACUUUCUCAGCUGUGGCCCUGCAGGUUGGGUCCAACAGCAAAGAGCUGUUUUGCUUUUACCCAGUUAUCUCCCCCUCCCCCCCGCCUUUUAUUUUUAUUUUUUUUAGCCUUUGUCUCUCUGUUUUCUGGAACUUGGGAUUUAUUUUCUAGUUCUACAAUUCUGUGAUUCUUUGUCACUUAUAUGAAUGAUUUUACUGUCUGUGCAGUCAGCGAACAUUGUAACUGCAGAAGAAAUAUUUAUUGAUUUACUCCUAUGGACCUUAGUGAAUAUUGUUUAAAUACUCAUGCUGUUUUACUAAGCUUCUAAAUUAUUCUAAGAUAAUUUCUCGUUAAUAUUAUUUUGACUUUGCUUUAUAAUUGCAUCUAUCUGAAGAUAACACCCACAGGUACUGCUUCGUCUAGUAGUUUCUUUAUAUGUUGUUAAAAAUGUAUAAUGUAUUUAUUCAAGAUAAAAUACAUGUGUUCUCUUUGUCAAACUAGUAAAGCUCAACAUUUGAAAGAGCAGAAUGAAAAACAAAGUUCUAAUUUUAAAUUUAAAGCUUUAAUCUUUAAGUUUUCAGAUAACCUAUCACAAGAUAGACUCAUAGUGCAAUUUGUCAUAGAAUCAUAGAAUCACUAAGGUUGGAAAUGACCUCCAAGAUCAUCUAUUCCACCUACCACCAAUAUCGUUCUGACCUGCCACUUGAUUUCAUAACCCUUGUUACCAUUAAGCCCACUGACUUGAGUUUGAUUAGUGUGUAUCUUCCAGACAGCACCUGAAUUUCAUUAAAAAUUUAAAAUCUGUUUCUCAGAGCAAUUUGUUCCAGUAGCUAAUAAGGUGCACUUACAGAAAAGAUGAAGGAAGAAAAGAAAGCUCUCAUUUUUAAUCUGAAUUUAUUUAGCUCAAGUCCUCAGCCUUCAUUCUUGUUGAAGUUCUUCAGUACCUACUGUUCUCUCUCUUCGUGAAGGUAAUUAUACAACAUAAGCAAUCUCUGUGUUGUUGAAACACUCAGAUCAUUAGGACAUCUUAUUCCCCAAGCAUUUAAUCACUCUUGCAGCUCUUAUCUGUGCAAUUCUGAAUUUCAACCUGAGUCAGGGACAUUUAAACAGCUGAUAUGAUCACAUCCAGAACAGAAAUGAAAGUAGUUGCCAACCUUUUGAGAGGAGUCUUUCCCUUUCUAUGUUGUAUUUGCUUUUUCCCCUCUGUGCAUGCUGUCAUACACCUAUAGCAGUGAGGAAAUGAAUUGUACAGGCAGCUUCCACAGCAAUAAGCCAGAGAACACACCUGAAAUCAUGCCCACAGCUGAGGUGCUACUGAUAACAGUGUAGUUAGGAAGAAUGCUGGCAAAAAUCCUGCCUUAUCCUCAACGCUCCUGCAUUCCACGGGGCACAUGCGCAGCCUGAAGACAAAGCCAAAUAGCCACAGUGGUUGCCUGUUCUUCAGGCAACCGGCUGGGUGAUGCCGUGUGAAACAAUCAGUUUAUUUUCCUACC